Molecule: long non-coding RNA, 877 nt
Organism: Labrus mixtus (cuckoo wrasse)
Lineage: Eukaryota; Metazoa; Chordata; Actinopteri; Labriformes; Labridae
Exons: 2
Source: RefSeq, a predicted model, not a curated record
GAGCUCAGUGGAUUUUUCACUGCAGGGAGCUGGGUCUAAAUUAUGUUCUGAUGAUAUCAUUCCAACCACAAGAAAAAAAGUCACGUCGGAUAACUUUUGGAGUUUUGGCCUGAUGUGCUGAAGAUUUGAUUGGUCCAGCACAGUGUUUUCUUUUAGUGUCUGCAUCAUUUUUACUGUGUAAAUGUGCACAUAUAUUACAUUUAUCUGUCAUUUUUGGUCUAUGUUGGAAACGCAGACAACAGUAGGCGAACAGAACUUUGUAUUUCCUUGAAAAGAAAGUCCAGGGGCUAAAUGUGCUGGGUACUUUAUGUGGAAAUGCAACUUUAAUACUAAGUCAGUGUAAAAAGAACCCCUAAUCCUCCAUUGAAAUCGAGUUCAAUAAGACAUCCUUGGUUUGCCCCUGUUGGGCCUGCAGCACGUCAUGCUAGCUGGAAGGCCCUGGUUAGCCCAGUUUGGCCCAGUUUGGCUCAGUGUCUAAACACUGGGUAAUGCUAUUUGAUACUCUGGUCAGAGCCAGGUCCUUUCUUCUCUCUUUUGUGGCUUUUAUGUGUGUUUGGGUGGUGUUACUGCCAUAUUGUCUGGUAAUGUAGUGGACCGCCUACCAGGAAGACUGAAUGAUCACCCUGUGUGUGUGUGUGUGUGUGUGUGUGUGUGCAUCCUGGUCCCAUUAGAAAAGCAGUCUUGGUGCGGUUCAUUAGUCCCGUUGCCAGCAGCUGAAUGAGAAUCCAAACACCUCGGAAACGGUCAGAGAAAAGCUUUCUAGAGCUUUCUGUGCUGCCGAACACUCGGGUCAUGUUCUUGUUUUAAGGCCACCAGCGCAACAGGAAGACACACACCACCAAUACAGAUUAUCAGCUGACCACUUGAUUUUGUUAAG